ACUUUGUUACUACGCACACGAUGUAACAAAGUGUGGUGCUACAACACAAUGUCCACAAGAUGAGCAUUGUGGAAUCCAUGAAUUUUCCAUGAAUGGAGAGAAAACGUAUCAUGCUGGGUGUAUUUCCACUGAGGUGUGCGAAGGAAGACAAUACGCACCAAUAAAAAUAUUUGGAAAACGUAGACAGUUAACAACUGUAAAAGUACAAUGCUGUGAUACAGACCUGUGUAAUGCCGAUCCAAAUAAUGUUACGACAGGGUUGCCAGAUAUAAAUGUAACGACCAGUACUACUAAAACGACUGGAAUUACUACAUCUGACCAGCAGUUAAUGACGUCAAGUUUACCUACGACUUCUGCCACGUGCGUUGAUCAUUCUAACUGCGGCCACCUUUUGCAGACAUUUCCAAUAUGUACAGAUUCUUUUACUGCAAAGACUGUUUGUCCAAAAUUAUGCGGUUUAUGUGAUACUGAUACUUCAGCAACAACAAAUAAGUCUACACAAUGUGUAGAUAUUUCGAACGAAUGUGAAAUACUGAUACAACAUUUUCAAGUAUGUAAAGAUACUGAUUUUUCAUUGGCUAGAUGUAGAAAAUCUUGCAACCUGUGUUCGCAAAUCACUACAAUAGUACCAAGCUUAGAGACGCCGCCACCGAAUCGAGAAACACUCCCACCAAAUCGAGAAACUCCUCCACCGAACCGAGAAACACCCCUGCCUUCACAGAGCUCUUCAUUGUUACCAAAUGUAGAGACGCCACUUCCGAAUCGGGAAACGGUCGAACCUUCGCAAACAUCAGCACCGCUACCAAAUAUUGAGACGCCAAGCUUUUAAAGGCACUAUAGUUUUGUCCGAAAACAGAAAACCUUAAUUACUAUUAAAAUGUUAUAGUAUCACAGCUCCUUAUGCAUACUUCGUAUGUUGUAAUAAACAAUUGAGUUAAAACUAGUUAGAAAGCUAAACAAUAAGCAAAACGAACCCGACCACAAAACACGUGUGCCCCGGAAGGGUAAACAUUUCCUGUUCCACGAUUUUGUCCCCAUCAUUUGCUCAUGCAAGUAAAAAUUCUGUAAUAAGCAACAUUCGAUGUAAUAGUCUAGGAUUUCUCUCGAUGCAACAUGUUUUAAAAAUAUGUGAAAUUUAUAAUAUCAUAAGUUUAUGAGUAUUGUCUUCAAUUGGAAUGUAUAGAACAUUUUGCUCUUGUGGACAUUAUAAAAAAAUCUAAAAAGAUCGUAAAGAUCAAUGUUUUAAACGCUUUGAACUUCAUAUUCUGGUAUGUUUCAUUAUAUUUUAAUUUAUUUUUCAUUAAUUUUAAAAUUAUAUUUGUUCCAAAAGCCGGUUUAAUUUUAAAAUGUAUACCGAUUAGUCUGAUUGGUCUGCCCUUCAGGAAAAUUGACAAAGUAUGAUUUUCUUAUUCUAAUUUGUAGUCCGUGAAAUCAGGCAUACGCAUUGAUUUUUUUUUUAGAUAAACCACUAGGACAAAAACUAACCUACGUACAUGCAUAUGAACAGAGAAAACUGCAAUUUUGAAACUAUUGUAUAUAUGCCAAAUGGUAUGAACCGUGUCACUAACUUUUUUUUUUUGGAAUACACUUGCAAGAAUAUAGAGGUAAAUCUUAAUCAUACAGUAUCUAUAUCUAGUAAAACGAGGAAGAACAAUAAUCAAUUUACAAGUUCAUGGAAACCAAACUACGCGCAACACCGCAGUGUUUGUUCUAUGAUUUAAACUCAUUCAACCAAAAUGUUAUCUACAGACAAAGAUUGAAAUGAUUUCUCAAAAGCCCCGAUUUUACAACUGUUUAUAGGCUCUUAAUUUUGCUUUUCAUAUUAGUAUAUGGUCCAUGAUAAUGCUUUUUGGAAAAAUCGAAUUUCAACCUUAACAUUAAACUAUUGUUAUAUCAGACUGUAACAAAAAGCACCUGCGUUGCAUAUAAACGGCAAAAAACUAUUAUUUUUAAAUUUUCGAUAUUUUUUUGCUUUGCUUUGAGUGAAAUGUUGACUGGGAAUUUAUCUUCGAUCUCUCAGAUAAGAUGCAUACCACGUAACAACAAAAUUUCAUCUGACGUAACGGGUUUUUUUUUUCUUCAAAAAAGGGUGUUUGUUAUUUCUUGAAACUAUUAAUAUUGCUCACAUUUUUUUUGCAUGAAGUCAAUAAAUGGAUGUUUUAUUAACUGAAAAUUAGCUAUUUUCGUGUUGAUUUGAAUCUUAUUAAUAAAAUGCAGUCAAGUUUUGGGCCAAGAAAAACCGUCUUUGUUAUUUCAAUGUGUUGUUGAUCGCUGUUGCAUUGACGUAUAUCCAACAUCUAUUAUUCAUCCUCAAUAUCUCUUGUCCUUCAUGACUAUGAGUCUGUCUGUUAAAAUAUCAUCUAGGAUCAUGGGUUAAUAAUACUGUAGGAUCAUGGGUUAAUAAUACUGUAGGAUCAUGGGUUAAUAAUACUGAAGGAUCAUGGGUUAAUAAUACUGUGGUACAGCCAAUGGUUCCGUAGCAAUACUUAUAAAUAGAAUUACUCUGAAUAUAGGAGAAAUAUUGCCACUAGACGUUAAGCAAACUAUAAUCGCACGAAAAAAAAUACCUAAGCAAUUUCACCAAUCCCAGCUUUAAAAAAACAGACAUUACUAUAUAUAGAAUAUACGAUUCAUAGACUGUUUGAAUAAAACGGACAGGUUAUAUGAUUUAAAAACAUGACCCUGCAAGGUAGAAACUUUCGAAUGCAUUGGAUGUGUCUUUUUCGUGAAAGGCCUACCUCCA
Molecule: long non-coding RNA, 2743 nt
Organism: Mytilus californianus (California mussel)
Lineage: Eukaryota; Metazoa; Mollusca; Bivalvia; Mytilida; Mytilidae
Exons: 4
Source: RefSeq, a predicted model, not a curated record